GCGCAGCAGGCGAGAAUACUUUACAAUGUGCGAAAGCACGAUAAGGGAACUCUGAGUGCCUCCUAAGGAGGCUGUUCAGGUGUCUAAAAGCACCUGAAGGAAGGGCUGGGUAAGACCGGUGCCAGCCGCCGCGGUAACACCGGCAGCCCAAGUGGUAGCCACGUUUAUUGGGUCUAAAGCGUCCGUAGCCGGCUGGGUAAGUUCCUUGGGAAAUUUGGCUGCUUAACAGUCGAGCUUUCAGGGAAUACUGCCCGGCUUGGGACCGGGAGAGGUCAGAGGUACUCCAGGGGUAGGGGUGAAAUCCAUUAAAUCCUUGGGGGACCACCGGUAGCGAAGGCGUCUGACCAGACCGGGUCCGACGGUGAGGGACGAAGGCUAGGGGCGCGAACCGGAUUAGAUACCCCUGUAGU
Molecule: ribosomal RNA, 410 nt
Filed under: uncultured microorganism
Description: bacterial SSU rRNA
Rfam family: Archaeal small subunit ribosomal RNA
Source: RNAcentral